UGCCCAGCAACUCCUAUCCUUACCUCCUCGUGGUACUGGCCGGGGUACGAGUAACCUUGGGGAAGAUCGGGUAACCAACCCCCGGUGGGAACUUUGGUCGUAUGCUGACAGGGAAGG
Aedes aegypti (yellow fever mosquito) is the source of this 117-nucleotide non-coding RNA. Lineage: Eukaryota; Metazoa; Arthropoda; Insecta; Diptera; Culicidae. The record is from Rfam.